Brachypodium distachyon (stiff brome) is the source of this 387-nucleotide long non-coding RNA. RefSeq lists it as uncharacterized. Lineage: Eukaryota; Viridiplantae; Streptophyta; Magnoliopsida; Poales; Poaceae. The record is from RefSeq and is a predicted model, not a curated record. The transcript is spliced from 3 exons.
UUCACAACGGGGAAUUGUCUGGAUAUCUUAUUACCCUCUUCAUGUCCACUUGGGAUGACGAAAAAUUAAAUUUGCCAUUUUUAAAGGAAGGAUACGAGCUAAGGAAACAAAUUUUGGCAAAGCUAUUGACGUUCAAGAAAAAUGACUGCGAAGUCAACAUGCCAGCCGGUGUACUGGAUAUCAUCAACUGUAUCAGGAAUAUCCAAACCAAUAUGAAUGUGAAGACCUGAGGAUGAAAAGGCAAGACCUGAGGAUGAAAACGCAACAAAGGCCAAUAAAGAAGCUUCAUCUAAAACUCACUGUUUAGUUUGUCUUUGCUUUCAGAAACUACAUAUGUAUAGCCGAGUGUGAUGUUUUUGUUUUUGUCCAAAACCUGAUACUUCACUU